GGGGCCAUAGCUCAGCUGGGAGAGCGCCUCGUUCGCAAUGAGGAGGUCGGCGGUUCGAUCCCGCCUGGCUCCACCA
RNAcentral lists this transfer RNA (76 nucleotides) under Bradyrhizobium sp. RNAcentral's name for it is "tRNA-Ala". It matches the Rfam family "tRNA". From Rfam's summary of the family: Transfer RNA (tRNA) molecules are approximately 80 nucleotides in length. Their secondary structure includes four short double-helical elements and three loops (D, anti-codon, and T loops). The record is from RNAcentral. RNAcentral also lists the same sequence under 10 other names. Lineage: Bacteria; Pseudomonadati; Pseudomonadota; Alphaproteobacteria; Hyphomicrobiales; Nitrobacteraceae.